GGGCCAGUAGCUCAGUCGGUUAGAGCAGCGGACUCAUAAUCCGCCGGUCAUCGGUUCAAGUCCGAUCUGGCCCA
This 74-nucleotide transfer RNA is filed under the name Bifidobacteriaceae bacterium. RNAcentral describes it as "tRNA-Ile". It matches the Rfam family "tRNA". Rfam says of the family: Transfer RNA (tRNA) molecules are approximately 80 nucleotides in length. Their secondary structure includes four short double-helical elements and three loops (D, anti-codon, and T loops). The record is from RNAcentral. Lineage: Bacteria; Bacillati; Actinomycetota; Actinomycetes; Bifidobacteriales; Bifidobacteriaceae.